This 93-nucleotide transfer RNA is filed under the name Cyrtodactylus lekaguli. RNAcentral's name for it is "tRNA-Cys". The record is from RNAcentral. Lineage: Eukaryota; Metazoa; Chordata; Lepidosauria; Squamata; Gekkonidae.
GCCCCGCGGUGACACCACACCAACGUGCAAACUUGGAGACGCACCCGUAAGAGGUGCCGGGGCUUCUCCCGUUUUUAACUAGACGGGAGAAGG